AGUGGCGGACGGGUGAGUAACGCGUGAGAAUCUGGCUUUAGGUCUGGGACAACCACUGGAAACGGUGGCUAAUACCGGAUGUGCCGAGAGGUGAAAGGUUAACUGCCUGAAGAUGAGCUCGCGUCUGAUUAGCUAGUAGGUGUGGUAAAGGCGCACCUAGGCGACGAUCAGUAGCUGGUCUGAGAGGACGAUCAGCCACACUGGGACUGAGACACGGCCCAGACUCCUACGGGAGGCAGCAGUGGGGAAUUUUCCGCAAUGGGCGAAAGCCUGACGGAGCAAUACCGCGUGAGGGAGGAAGGCUCUUGGGUCGUAAACCUCUUUUCUCAGGGAAGAACACAAUGACGGUACCUGAGGAAUAAGCAUCGGCUAACUCCGUGCCAGCAGCCGCGGUAAUACGGAGGAUGCAAGCGUUAUCCGGAAUGAUUGGGCGUAAAGCGUCCGCAGGUGGCUAUGUAAGUCUGCUGUUAAAGAGUCUAGCUCAACUAGAUAGAGCAGUGGAAACUACAUGGCUAGAGUGCGUUCGGGGCAGAGGGAAUUCCUGGUGUAGCGGUGAAAUGCGUAGAGAUCAGGAAGAACACCGGUGGCGAAGGCGCUCUGCUAGGCCGCAACUGACACUGAGGGACGAAAGCUAGGGGAGCGAAUGGGAUUAGAUACCCCAGUAGUCCUAGCCGUAAACGAUGGAUACUAGGCGUGGCUUGUAUCGACCCGAGCCGUGCCGUAGCUAACGCGUUAAGUAUCCCGCCUGGGGAGUACGCCGGCAACGGUGAAACUCAAAGGAAUUGACGGGGGCCCGCACAAGCGGUGGAGUAUGUGGUUUAAUUCGAUGCAACGCGAAGAAGGAA
RNAcentral lists this ribosomal RNA (845 nucleotides) under Nostoc sp. BHU169. RNAcentral describes it as "bacterial SSU rRNA". It matches the Rfam family "Bacterial small subunit ribosomal RNA", at positions 94 to 972 of the family's 1533-position model. Lineage: Bacteria; Bacillati; Cyanobacteriota; Cyanophyceae; Nostocales; Nostocaceae. The record is from RNAcentral.